GAGGCGGGUGGCAGUCACGCCUGGAGCUGCUGCAGCGUUUUCUGCCAGCAGCUGGCGGAGGCCUGUGGGCUCGGAGCGAGCGAGCCGCUGGAGGAGGGAACGCUGCAGCGCUACGCGUGUCUGGCGACAAGUGAUCCAGGUUCUCCUUGCUCCCUCAGCUACUUUAAACUGUAGAUACCUGAGACUUCUCGUUCCUAGGUUUACUUUUCUGUUCCUGAAAUUCUCAUCACAACGAGAGUAAGGUGCCUUUUUCAGCCUCGUCAUUCCAGAUACCGAGCUCAGGUUGACAUCUUACUUUCUGAUAGCUGAAGGAAGUAUGUUCGUUUUCCUUCUACAGAUAAGAGAUGUUAUUGCCAGUACUUAAUCUGUUUAAUGGGUUUAAAGGGAACAGUAGUAAAAGUAGGAGAAUCCUGAAGCUAAAAGAGCAGUCAGAGGUCUGAUCUUUAACUAAAUUGGCAUGCAUACGCUGCCUGAAGGGAACAGUUAUUUUAUCUUUCUAUAUACACCUUAUAUAUACAUGUAUAGACAUGUAUAUGUGCAUACAUUUAUACAUAUUAAUGUGACCACAUGUAUAUGGACAUGUGUGUGUAUAUAUAUAUAUAGAACCACACCUGUUUGUAGUUGCCUCAGUUCUGAAAUUAUUGUUCAGAAUGAAGCACUUAAUAUCCUGCUGUUUUAGACAAGUUAACUCAGUAUAAAUAGCAUUACUGCUUUUGUUCAGCAUAAGCAACUUUUAAGAGUUACAGGCACUUCCUUUUGGCUCUGUGCUUCUUUGUUCUCAGGAAGUGUGACCGCGAUCUGCAGCAUGAGGAGGAACUGUUUGGAACGUACCUUUUUGGGGUGUUUCUGGGCAUCAGUGGUGUAAAUUGCUUGUCUGAUGCUGAGAUCUAAACUGGUCCCAGCAGUCUUAAGUACUGGGAAAAUGUGCAUGGAGUUCACCUUUUCUUUUGUUGUUUUGCAUAUCAGCAGAUGCAUUUCUGGAGAUGUCCACCACCUUCUCAUCACCUCUUAAUAUUCAUAUUUUAACAAAUUUGUUACUGAAUAUGUGAUGUUUGCUUUACAUGAACAUUGGGUCAAAUCUCUGAUUGGUAGCACAAGCCUGUUGUUGGUGUUUUUAUGAUGUUUUGCUAUCACUAGCAUUGCUGCCUAGCAGAAGGGAGCUCCUGGACAAACUCAAAUACGAAAAGGAAGCCUACACAGGGUAGAAGCAAGAACAGGUAAUCUGGGAGGAAUACAGAGAAAUUGUCCAAGCAGUUAAGGAUCAGGUUAGCAAAGCUAAAGCUCUAAUAGAAUUUAAUCUGGCAGGAACAUCAAGGGCAACUGGAAAAGCUUCUGUUGGUGUGUUGGUAAUAAGAGGAAGACUAGAGAAAAUGUGGGCCUUCUCUGGAAGGAAACGGGAGACUUGAUUACCUGGGACAUGGGGAAGGCUGAGGUACUCAAUGACUUUUUUGCCUCCAUCUUCACUGGCAAGUGCUCCAGCCACACCGCCCAAGUCAGAAGGCGAUGGCAGGGACUGCAAGAAUGAAGAGCUGCCUGCUGUAGCAGAUCAGGUUUGAGACCAUCUAAGGAACCUGAAGUUGCACAAGUCCAUGGGACCUGAUGACAUGCAUCUGCAGGUCCUGAGGGAAGCGGAGGACGAAGUGGCCAAGCUACUAUUCAUCAUAUCUGAGAAGUCAUGGCAGUCUGUUGGAAGUUCCCACUGACUGGAAAAGGGGGAAAAAAAAAAGACCUGGGGAACUACAGGCUGAUCAGUCUUACCUCUGUGCCCAGCAAGAUCAUGGAGCAGAUCCUCCUGGAAACUGUGCAAAGGCACAUGGAAAAUAAGGAGGUGUGACUGGUGACAGCCAACAUGGCUUCACUAAGGGCAGAUCACACCUGAAAAAUUUGAUGGCCUUCUAUGACAGGGUUACAGCUUUUGUAGAUGAGGGAUGAGAAACUGACAUCAUCUGCCUGGACUUGUGCAAAGCAUUUGACACUGUCCUGCAUGACAUCCUUGUCUCUAAACUGAAGAGGUGUGGAUUUGAUGGAUGGACCACUCAGUGAAUGAGGAAUUAGCUGGAUGGUCACACACAAAGAGUUGUGGACAAUGGCUUGAUGUCCAGGUGGAGACCAGUGACAAGUGGUGUUCCUCAGGGGUCAGUGUUGGGACCGGUGCUGUUUAACACCAUUGGCAACAUGGAUGCUGGGAUCAAGUGGACCCUCAGCAGGUUUGCUGACACUACUAAACUGUGUGGUGUGGUUGACACACUAGAGGGGAGAGAUGCCAGCUUGAGGCUUGAGAAGUGGACCAGCUCGUGAAGUUCAAAAAGAUCAUGUGCAAGGCCCUGCACCUGGGUCAGGGCAAUCCCCAGUACCAGUACAGAAUGGGGAACGAAUGGACUAAGUAAGAUCAGCCCUGCAAAGGAGGACACGGGAAUACUGAGUAGAUGAAAAAGUAGCUAUGAGCCAGCAGCAUGUGCCUGCACCCCAGAAAUGCAGCCAUAUUCUGGGCUGCAUCAAAAUAAUUUUUUCUUUUCAGGUGCUGCUGCAUCAGGGCCAGCAGGUUGAGGGAGGAGAUUCUGCCCCUCUGCUCAGCUCCCCCGGAGCCCUACAUCCAGCUCUGGGGUCCCCGGUACAAGGAAGACACGGACCUGUCGGAGCGGGUCCAGAGGAGGCCAUGGAGAUGCUCAGAAGGCUGGAGCCCCUCUGCUGUAGAGACAGGCUGAGAGAGCUGGGCUUGUUCAGCCUGGGGAGGAGAAGGCUGUGGGGGAGACCUGACUGGGGCCUUUCUACUUAUAAAGGAGGAUCAUAAGAAAGAUGGAGAAACCUUUUACCGGGGCCUGCAGUGACAGGGCAAGGGGCAGUGGAUAUAAACGGGAAGAAGAUAGGUUUAGACUGGGUGUGAGGAAGAAAUUCUGACUAUGAGUGUGGUGAGACACUGGAGCAGAGAAGCUGUGGAUGCCCCAUCUCUGGAAGUGUCAGAUGGGACUUGAAGCAGCCUGGUAUAGUGGAAGAUGUCCCAGCCCAUGGCAGGGUAGUUGGACUAGAUGAUCUCUAAAGGUCCCUUGAACCCACACCAUUCUCUGUUUCUGUAUUCCUGGUGCAACCCUAAUUAAUGCUUUGAUCAUCUUUUAUAGUGCCUAUUUAUUCCAUUGUGUCUAGUGUAGAUGCAAAUAAUAAAUUUGAGUAGUGGCAAACUUCUUAGCAUAAGUUAUAUACUAGAAUAACUUGUUUCACCACUGCUUUUAAGACCAAGUGACUGCUAUGUAAUCUUGCAUGUUGUACUGUGGAAUUGCUAGUCGACAUUGAAAGUUUAAAUAGGUUAAUGCUACCAAGUCAUAAACCCCUCAUCUCAUUGCUUGGAUUAAUCUCUAAUUGAAAAUAAAACAAUGCUUACAUGAAAGUGUCUUGUUAAUGUAGCAUGUUUCAUUUAUGAAAUAGGAGAGAUGAUAACUCUUAACUGUUAAACUUUUUUUCAGAUACUUUUGUUGAAACUAGGUAAAAUGGUGACACUAAUUCGCACUUUAGCAGAUCAUAGUGAUGAUGUCAACUACUGUGCCUUCUCAUCAUCAUGCUUGGCUACUUGUUCCUUGGACAAAACAGUUCGUGUUUAUUCUUUAAACAACUUUAUGGAGCUUCCAUACUCGCCUUUAAAAGGUCAUACAUACGCUGUCCACUGCUGCUGCUUUUCUCCAUCAGGACACAUUCUAGUUUCAUGUUCAACAGAUGGCACUACCAUGGUGUGGGACACUCGUGAUGGGCAGAUGCUGGCAGUGCUAGAGCAGCCCAGCAGCAGUCCUGUGAGAGUCUGCCGGUUUUCUCCCAAGUCCACACACCUAGUGUCAGGGGCAGCGGAUGGGAGUGUUGUUCUUUGGAACAUGCGGUCGUUGAAACUGUACAGAUCUGGGAAUGUUAAAGAUGGUUCUUUGGUGGCCUGUGCAUUUUCUCCUAAUGGAAAUUUCUUUGUCACUGGAUCAUCGUGUGGUGAUUUAACCAUUUGGGAUGAUAAAAUGAGAUGCCUGUAUAACGAAAAAGCACAUGAUCUUGGUGUUACCUGCUGUGAUAUUUCUUCACAGCCAAUUUCUGAUGUUGAACAUGAAUUCACAUAUUUCCAGAUGGCUUCUUGUGGUCAAGAUUAUCAGAUCAAACUCUGGCUUAUUUUGUUUGCAGAUUUCAUAGGUGUUGAAUUAAAAUACAAAUGCACACUGAGUGGACAUUCUGCCCCAGUUCUGGCUUGUGCAUUUUCUUACGAUGGGCAGAUGUUAGCUUCAGGGUCUGUGGACAAGUGUGUCAUAAUAUAUGAAACUAGUACUGGCAAUAUCCUUCAUACUUUGUCUCAGCAUACCAGAUACGUUACAACUUGUGGUUUUGCACCACAUAGUCCGUUACUUGCCACAGGUUCAAUGGAUAAAACUGUGAACAUAUGGCAGUUGGACCUUAAGCAACCCUGUGCAGGAAAUAUGGUAGAAAAUGAAUCUAAGCUGGCUGUUAAGGACUGGUCAGAGGAUGAUGUUUCAGCCUGGCUUUGUGCACAAGACUUAGCAGACUUUGUUGAGCUUUUCAAAAUGAAUAACAUUGAUGGCAAGGAACUACUGAAUCUUACUAAAGAAGGUCUGACUAAUGAAUUAAAAAUUGAGGGUGGGCAGGAGGCGAGACUAGCUCUGAAAACGACACCUUCAGUUUAGAGGUUAGUGCCAUCGAAAGUGUUUUGUGCUGUACUACCACAAAUUGUAAAGAAGUUGGAAGUAUUCCAGAUACUUUCCCUUCUUCUGCAGCACAUUGAGAAGGCUUUUCAUGUGACUCUGUCCUGAUUUAGGUUUGGUAUGUAAAGAGAACAGAUUAUCUUAAAGACAGUUCAACCCUUUCCUUACUGCAGGGUGUCCUUAGAACGUGAAACAGGGAUAAUAAGCACAAACUGAAUUUUGAAGUCCCUGAUCAGGCUGUUUGUCGUCUUUUCCAUAAGCAAUAUACUUCAAAGAUGUGGGGGUUUUUGUCUUCCUUUUUUGUUUUUAAGGUUUCAUUCUAAGUACAUACAAAAAGUACAAGCAAGUUCUUUCCUGUUUCACAUCUUUAUCAAGAAACUCUGAGCAUUAGAAUGCGCUCGGAAGCAACAUUGUGGAGCAGAAUUUGAAUCAAUCGUGACUAUUUACGCUGAAGUAGGAGUAAACUUUGGGAGAAUUGCUCAGUACAGAUAUAACAGCAAAUGGCAAGUGCUUUGCCUAUAUCAACAAAAUCUUAUUUUAAGUGUUCUUUUAUGACUGGUUUUCAAAAAAUGAUCUAUCACAGAUAAUUCUUUAAUCCCUGAUGAGAUUUAAUCAGGAGGUAGUUAAUUGAGGUGUAGACUGGAUGCAAUAAUCUUUAAUCUGGAUGAGGUGAAUUUAGGGGAAAUUGCCCAUGUGAUAAAGGUUGUAGAAGAUGCCCUCAAAAUCCAGUUGUAACUACAGAAUUAUUUGGUUUCUUCUUUACGUUUCUUUCUGUCGGAUAUAUUCUUAAUUUUUCUUGAUCUUACAAACUGAUCUUACAGAUUUUUACAAAAUUGGCCGUGCAAACUGUUCCUAAGAAUCAGCAUGAACUUUUAUUGUAUUUCAGUACUGUAUUUCAGUUCUGAGGUUGUCUUUAUCUUUACAUAUGUUGUUACAUAAUCCUUAUUAAGGAAAUGUAGGUUAAUCUUUUAUGACUGAUUUUCAUCCCUUUGCACACAUCGUUUGAGGCAGCUGGUUAACUGUACAGCGAAGCUGGAAGCACUGGUGUGUUGGGGCUGGUCUGCUUGGCAGUCUGCAGGUGGGGUGGGGCAGUCGGUUGGAAGACUGCUGGGUCAGCUUUUUAUUUUAGUAUUGAGGAUAGAGAAUUAACCAGAGUAGGAACUAGUAUACACCACUGCUAGAUGGGAAGAAAAAAAAUGUGACACAGGUUUUUUGACAUAAAAGCGUUUUUAAAAAGAUGAAUGUUUUGUGCUGCUGCAAGAUGAAGGUUACUGAUAUCCAGGAUGCAUUUUCAAUCGUGACAAGUUAAAAUUGUAUUGUGACCAUUUAUAGAACUAUAAAAUUACUUUUCUCAUUAUCAGAUUUCUUUUCUCCUCUUCUCACACUUAAGUUGGAAAGAAUGGCAGCUGUCUCAGGCACAGGUUUCUCUCUUUUUUCAGAUUCACAGCUGUUGUAUAGUCUCAGUAAAAGGGUAAUAGUAAGUACUCAAAUAGGUUUUAGGAUACUUUCAUGGGGGGGUUAUGUGUUAAUCAUGUGUUAAUAUAUUAAUAAUGUGUUAUAGUAUUUGUGAUGCUAUACAUGAACAUGAAAAAGUUUAUACGGCAACAUGUGCGCUGUGGAGAGAAGAGCUUGCAAGACUCGCAAAUAUCAGAUCAGAGUAUUCUUUCUUUAAAAAAACUCAACAAACAAAACUAAUGCAGUUUUCAUAGACUCGGACAAAAUAUCAACACUUAGGCUCCACAGGUCUUUUUUUAUGCAAAAGAGAUUGGUUAUAUUUGAUUGAACCAAAAUGAAUGGAUUCACUCUUUACUAAAACCAAAGAUGGUUAAUGCUCACAAUAACAGGCCCCUCUUUCCCUAGUCAUUCCCACCAUUGGAUUUUAAUUUUUUUUCAGGGGAUUUUGUUUUGUGCCAAGAACCAGCUCACCUUCACUUGCAAUAGUACAUUACUAUAUAUGAUUUGAGAACAUUUGUGAUAAUAUAUUUGUGCACCAUCAAGUUUAAAAAUACCAACUGUCAGCACUAAGUGUAUGUUAGACUGGAGCUGUAUGUCAGUAUAAAAGGCAAUGAUGACUAUGCUACUGGGCAUUUUCAUCAUGUUUUUUGAAAAAAAUUCUUCUGAAAUGUCAUUUUCCCCUGCCCCAACAUAUAAGAUGAUGUUCAGCUUUAGUCAGAAGUUGCAUGCAUUUUUUCCUCUUGUAUACAGCUAUUCUGCUGGUCCGCCCCCGAAUCAAAAUAUUCAUUAUUUUUAUUUACAUGGACUGAGUGCGUUGUGCUUUCACUGCUUUCUGCUUCGGCUGUCUUGCUUGAUAGUGAAACUAUAAAUGUAAGUAAUUCAAUACAGCACUUUAAAUAGCAUAAUUGAAGCACUGAUGUCUUAGGCUGCUUUGCAGGUAGUCAUGCCACUAGGUAGUUCAUUUUGUUUCUUGUGAAUGAGAAGUAUAAAUGGAUUCUGCACAGUGUGUGGGAAUGAAUAUAACUUGUGUGUCCCCACCUUCGGUGGAUGGAAGCAAGCAUUAAACUGGAUUGUGAACAAUGUUUUUGGCAGAGGUAUUCAUAAAACACAUCUCACAAACUAUAGUCAAACUUGAUGAGAAUUUAUAAAAGACUUAGGUUCCUAUACAUUAAUCUCAAUAUAAUUUGUAAGUGUACCAUGAAUCCAAAUUUGUUAGCAAUAUUUGUGCUAUGUUGUAAUACCUAAUUCUGUGCCAGACAUUUUAAAAAAAUACAGUGAGGUGGGUAAUCCAUCGAGAUAGUCUUACUAGAUAGUUGCUUUCUAGAGUGGAUAGAAGAGAACUGAAUGAACAUCUUCUGCAAUCAGUUUAGUGGUAGCGGUGCUGCCACCGUGGUGAGAUACAGUGGGAACAUCAUCUCCACAGUAAUAAAGGAGCUCUGUUUCUGAAACCUUGAACGAAAGGUGGAGGUCUGUGUGUAUCACAAGGGCUUCAGAAUGUCUUACCCAGGUUUUUCAGGGUUUAUCAUAAUCUUGCCAAGGAGAUUGUCCACAGUGAGGUUACUAUUUAAGAAAGGACAGUUGGGAGUAAAAUAAAUUAUACAGUUUUAUUGGUCUUGGGUGAAGCAGAGUGCACCUCAUUGUAAAUGCUACGCAUGUGUCUGCGGAGAGGAAUGCCAGUGAACAAUGUAACUGUAAAAAUAAGUGAUUUCCAUUUUGAUACAGGUUCCUUACAGAAGCAUCGCCUGAGUAUUGAGGUGUUGCAAGUCUAAGACCCUAUUGUUCAUGAGACAGGAGCAUAUAACAAUGAAGUGUAAUUUGCAGGCCCAGUGUACAAACACACCUUAUUGUUGUUGAUGCAUUGUUUGAAGACUGCAAAGUUACUGUUGAUGGGUUUUCACUUUAUUGUCUUGAGCGCUUCUGGACUGAACAGGCUGAAAUAAAACAAGGAAGCAUGGCAUAGCCAUAGCUGUGUUUGUAGUUUUAUUUUUAGAUUAGGAGGAUGUUACUCUUUUAAAAAACACAAGUUAGGCAUUCUUCAGUCUUCCCUUUGUAAGCUAUAAGACAGCAAUACUUUUGGAAGCCACAGGACAGCAAUACUAUAUGACAGGUGUAGGGUGUUGUAAUAAAGAGAUGUCAAUGACCUUGUGUGACAAAAGCUAAUGUGAAGGUUAAGGGAAAUAAAAUUAAUUAUACUUUUACAGGAAUGGUAUAUCCUUAUAUUUAGCAUGACUGGAAGGACAAAGCAGUCAGUCCCUGUAAUGUUAGUGGUACUGAGGUUUUUUACUCUGUAAUUACUUUUUUUAAUCCCUGCAAACAGAUAGUCACUGCAUGAAUUGUGUGUUUUGUAACACAUCAGGCAUUUAGAGAAAUUACUGUAUUGGUGGCUUGAAAUUAGUUCUUUACAGUGUGCCACCUCCUUUUAUUUUGCAUCUUGCUAUUUUGUGGCUUGUAUUACUUAAAACAAUGUUUAUAUCAAUUUAUAUGUUUUAAGCUUUCAAAGUUAUGUCAGUAUUUUAAAAGCGCUUUUCUAAGAUUAAUAUUAAAAAGCCAUUCUAAGAUUUGUUGAUGAGCUUUUUCAGGGUUCCUCUGGCAGGGUAACAUUUUUAUCUUUUCUAAUUUUUUUAAUCUGGCAUAGUUGGAAGCUGAACAGUCAUCCUGGCAUGGUAAUGUGGGAGAAAGACACAGCUAACGGAGUCUCUAGGCCUGCGCAGUAAAGUCCUCCAGAAAAUUGAAGAACUUAGGAUGAAAAUGAUCUCUGCUUCUGUUGAUAUCCCUGAUGAGUUCUUAUGUCCUAUAACAAGAGAGCUUAUGAAGGACCCUGUCAU
This is an RNA transcript of Falco peregrinus (peregrine falcon), 8962 nucleotides long. It is a transcript of the gene named WD repeat, sterile alpha motif and U-box domain containing 1, with no coding region annotated. The record is from RefSeq and is a predicted model, not a curated record. The transcript has 10 exons. Lineage: Eukaryota; Metazoa; Chordata; Aves; Falconiformes; Falconidae.